AGUGAACGCUGGCGGUAGGCCUAACACAUGCAAGUCGAACGGCAGCACAGUAAGAGCUUGCUCUUACGGGUGGCGAGUGGCGGACGGGUGAGGAAUACAUCGGAAUCUACUUUUUCGUGGGGGAUAACGUAGGGAAAAUUACGCUAAUACCGCAUACGCCCUACGGGUGAAAGCAGGGGAUCUUCGGACCUUGCGCGAUUGAAUGAGCCGAUGUCGGAUUAGCUAGUUGGCGGGGUAAAGGCGCACCAAGGCGACGAUCCGUAGCUGGUCUGAGAGGAUGAUCAGCCACACUGGAACUGAGACACGGUCCAGACUCCUACGGGAGGCAGCAGUGGGGAAUAUUGGACAAUGGGCGCAAGCCUGAUCCAGCCAUACCGCGUGGGUGAAGAAGGCCUUCGGGUUGUAAAGCCCUUUUGUUGGGAAAGAAAAGCAGCAGGUUAAUACCCCGCUGUUCUGACGGUACCCAAAGAAUAAGCACCGGCUAACUUCGUG
Molecule: ribosomal RNA, 492 nt
Filed under: uncultured bacterium
Lineage: Bacteria
Description: partial 16S ribosomal RNA
Rfam family: Bacterial small subunit ribosomal RNA
Source: RNAcentral